RNAcentral lists this long non-coding RNA (1351 nucleotides) under Homo sapiens (human). RNAcentral's name for it is "HSALNT0328152". The record is from RNAcentral. Lineage: Eukaryota; Metazoa; Chordata; Mammalia; Primates; Hominidae.
CGACCGGUUCCAUCUGGCUCGGGCCACUCUGACACCUUUAGUUUCGGCAAGGGAUAUUGGGGUGGCGAAGGGGAGGCGGGGGCCCGAAGGCUUCGGAAAACGAUGGGGGAGGGGGCAGAGGAUACCCGUCGAAGCCCCCCCCUCCCCCAACAUUUCGAUAUUGGAAUCACUUUCCUUCUUCCUCGGGCCAGCCUUUGCUCUGUCCCCUCAGGUCAACUCAAGGUAGACAGUGUGGCGACUGGAGAGGUCGGGGAACAAGCUUUGUUUCAGCUAAGGGGAAAACAAGCGUUCACAGGAGUCCCCUGACACCUCCCACUCGGAAGAUAGCUAACGGGGGUCCUGCCAACCCUUCCCAUCCAACUUCCAUCUGAAAAGGAUUUUCUGCUAAAGUUGGGUCCAUGGCCAUCCAGCACCUGUAAGGCCGGCAGGAGCGUCUGCCCUCUACUCAGUUAAAGCCUGAAGUCGUUUCCUUUCGAUGGCCCUUAGGAGGCCCAAAAGAGGGGCGACAGAACAUGAUGUUGACACGGGCUGGGCGCCCCCAGAAGCCCGGGAACAAACGUUUCUACUUUCCAGGUCCACUGGUGUUUGGUGUACCCAUGUGACUAAUUUGUCCAAAGAGAGAUUUCUGUGAAUAGACCAGAAGCCGACCUUUACAGUGUGUUUGGGUGCAGCCCACGUUGGAGCUCUCUGCUAACAGAGACCAAUGCUGUCACAGAGAACAAAGAAGAGCAGGAAUGAUGGAAUGGUUCUGGUGUCUUCUGCCUUAGGGGCUGCCUCUCAUGACAAGCUGCAACACUCAGACUCACCUGUUUUUACUCCCCAUUCCCUCAGGAGUGGUUGCUGUUGUUACAAUCUGGAGGCUCUUGCAGAGCUCUCUGUUCUAUGCCAUUGAUAUGGUUUGGCUGUGUCCCCACCCAAAAUCUCAUAUUGAAUUGUAAUCCUCAUAAUCCCCAUAAUCCCCACGUGUCUAGGGAGAGACCAGGUGGAGGUAAUUGAAUCAUGGGGGCAGGUUUCUCCCAUACCAUUCUUGUGAUAGUGAAUUCUCAUGAGAGCUGAUGGUUUUAUACGUGUUUGGUAGUUCCUCCUGCAUUCAUUCUUCUCCCUGCUGCCUUGUGAGGAAGGUGCCUUUCUUCCCCUUCAUGUUCUGCCAUGAUUGUAAGUUUCCUGAGGCUUCCCCAGCCAUGCUGAACUGUAGUCAAUUUAACCUCUUUCCUUUAUAAAUUACCCAGUUUUGGGUAGUUCUUUAUAGCAGUGUGAAAACGAACUAAUACAGCCCUAUACUCUGAUAUCAUUUCAAUAAUUUUAUUCUCUGCCCUAAGUAACCAAUUGGUUUCUCCUGCCUAUAAUUAAG